This 504-nucleotide long non-coding RNA is filed under the name Phoenix dactylifera (date palm). RNAcentral's name for it is "long non-coding RNA (PDAC_LNC017788)". The record is from RNAcentral. Lineage: Eukaryota; Viridiplantae; Streptophyta; Magnoliopsida; Arecales; Arecaceae.
GUUGUUUGUAUUGUGAUUUGUUUAAGUUCACUAACUUAUCAUUUAACACAAGUAAGAUAGUUAAAAUUAAAAGAAACUAAUUCACCCCCCCCCCUCUUGGCUUGUCACCUUGGGCAACAACUACCUAUCAAUCAUCAAUAAAUCUUGAAAAAUUUGGCAUGAUGCAUGCACAAAAUGAUCACUUUUCCUAUAGUGACCUGUCAGGAUUAUCUCAAUACAUACAACACACUACCUGUCAGAGCAGCAAUCACAUAAUUUGUCACAUAAUAAACCUGGACAAUAUAUAGCAAUACAUUAUCACAGGCACACAACUGAUCUGCACACAUAUAUAUACCUGCUUCCCAAUCCAUCCAUGGUCAAACCCAUAUCCACAACAGGAUCUAUGACUGUAACCAUGCACUAUAUACAAUAGAAGGUUUAUAAUACACCAAAAGGUAUAAACCUCCAUCUACAUUAUACUAUACUAUGGAGCGGCACAGCUAGCAGGCAACCACUAAUCCUUCU